Molecule: ribosomal RNA, 460 nt
Filed under: uncultured Thiobacillus sp.
Lineage: Bacteria; Pseudomonadati; Pseudomonadota; Betaproteobacteria; Nitrosomonadales; Thiobacillaceae
Description: bacterial SSU rRNA
Rfam family: Bacterial small subunit ribosomal RNA
Source: RNAcentral
ACCCGCACAAGCGGUGGAUGAUGUGGAUUAAUUCGAUGCAACGCGAAGAACCUUACCUACCCUUGACAUGUCCGGAACUUGCCAGAGAUGGCUUGGUGCCGAAAGGGAAUCGGAACACAGGUGCUGCAUGGCUGUCGUCAGCUCGUGUCGUGAGAUGUUGGGUUAAGUCCCCGCAACGAGCGCAACCCUUUAUCAUUAGUUGCUACGCAAGGGCACUCUAAUGAGACUGCCGGUGACAAACCGGAGGAAGGUGGGGAUGACGUCAAGUCCUCAUGGCCCUUAUGGGUAGGGCUUCACACGUCAUACAAUGGUCGGUACAGGGGGUUGCCAAGCCGCGAGGCGGAGCCAAUCCCACAAAGCCGAUCGUAGUCCGGAUUGUUCUCUGCAACUCGAGAGCAUGAAGUCGGAAUCGCUAGUAAUCGCAGGUCAGCAUACUGCGGUGAAUACGUUCCCGGGUCUU